Molecule: ribosomal RNA, 997 nt
Filed under: human gut metagenome
Description: bacterial LSU rRNA
Rfam family: Bacterial large subunit ribosomal RNA
Source: RNAcentral
GGCCGUAACUAUAACGGUCCUAAGGUAGCGAAAUUCCUUGUCGGGUAAGUUCCGACCCGCACGAAUGGUGUAACGAUCUGGGCACUGUCUCAACUACCCACCCGGCGAAAUUGUAGUACCGGUGAAGAUGCCGGUUACCUGCGGCAAGACGGAAAGACCCCAUGGAGCUUUACUGUAGCCUGAUAUUGGGUUUCGGAAAUCUAUGUACAGGAUAGGCGGGAGACUGGGAAGUAUGAGCGUCAGCUUAUACGGAGUCAUUGUUGGGAUACCGCCCUUAGGUUUCUGGAAUUCUAACCUGCGACCGUGAAUCCGGUCGGGGGACAUUGUCAGGUGGGCAGUUUGACUGGGGCGGUCGCCUCCGAAAAGGUAACGGAGGCGCUCAAAGGUUGGCUCAGCACGGACGGAAACCGUGCCUCAGAGUGUAAACGCAAAAGCCAGCCUAACUGCGAGGAUGACGGUCCGAGCAGUAACGAAAGUUGGAGUUAGUGAUCCGGCGGUAUGUGAAUGGAAAUGCCGUCGCUCAACGGAUAAAAGCUACCCUGGGGAUAACAGGCUGAUCUCCCCCAAGAGUCCACAUCGACGGGGAGGUUUGGCACCUCGAUGUCGGCUCAUCGCAUCCUGGGGCUGUAUUCGGUCCCAAGGGUUUGGCUGUUCGCCAAUUAAAGCGGUACGCGAGCUGGGUUCAGAACGUCGUGAGACAGUUCGGUCCCUAUCUGUCGUGGGCGUAGGAUAUUUGCAAGGAGCUGUCCCUAGUACGAGAGGACCGGGAUGGACGCACCUCUGGUGCACCAGUUGUCACGCCAGUGGCACAGCUGGGCAGCUAUGUGCGGAACGGAUAAACGCUGAAGGCAUCUAAGCGUGAAGCCGCCCUUAAGAUAAGAUAUCCCUUCUGUUUACAGAGUAAGACCCCUUGAAGACUACAAGGUUGAUAGGCUCAAAGUGUAAGCACGGUGACGUGUUUAGCUAGCGAGUACUAAUCGGUCGAGGGCUUAACCUU